AUUGAACGCUGGCGGCAUGCUUUACACAUGCAAGUCGAACGGUAACAGGCCGCAAGGUGCUGACGAGUGGCGAACGGGUGAGUAAUGCAUCGGAACGUGCCCAGUCGUGGGGGAUAACUACUCGAAAGAGCAGCUAAUACCGCAUACGAUCUAUGGAUGAAAGCGGGGGACCGUAAGGCCUCGCGCGAUUGGAGCGGCCGAUGUCAGAUUGGGUAGUUGGUGGGGUAAAGGCUCACCAAGCCAACGAUCUGUAGCUGGUCUGAGAGGACGACCAGCCACACUGGGACUGAGACACGGCCCAGACUCCUACGGGAGGCAGCAGUGGGGAAUUUUGGACAAUGGGCGCAAGCCUGAUCCAGCAAUGCCGCGUGCAGGAAGAAGGCCUUCGGGUUGUAAACUGCUUUUGUACGGAACGAAACGGCUCUGGUUAAUACCCGGGGCUAAUGACGGUACCGUAAGAAUAAGCACCGGCUAACUACGUG
RNAcentral lists this ribosomal RNA (482 nucleotides) under uncultured bacterium. RNAcentral's name for it is "partial 16S ribosomal RNA". It matches the Rfam family "Bacterial small subunit ribosomal RNA", at positions 30 to 507 of the family's 1533-position model. The record is from RNAcentral.